ACAAUGGUGUUUUUCAACACCAUCAACCAAACUCUUGGAAAGAUG
Non-coding RNA from Picea glauca (white spruce), 45 nucleotides. The record is from Rfam. Lineage: Eukaryota; Viridiplantae; Streptophyta; Pinopsida; Pinales; Pinaceae.